AUGGCUCAGGAUGAACGCUAGCGGCAGGCUUAACACAUGCAAGUCGAGGGGCAGCGAGAGUGAUAGCAAUAUUACUUGUCGGCGACCGGCGCACGGGUGCGUAACGCGUAUGCAACCUACCAUCAACAGGGGGAUAACACUGAGAAAUUGGUACUAAUACCCCAUAAUAUCUCAUGCGGCAUCGCAUGGGGUUGAAAACUCCGGUGGUUGAUGAUGGGCAUGCGUUGUAUUAGCUGGUUGGUGAGGUAACGGCUCACCAAGGCGACGAUACAUAGGGGGACUGAGAGGUUAACCCCCCACAUUGGUACUGAGACACGGACCAAACUCCUACGGGAGGCAGCAGUGAGGAAUAUUGGUCAAUGGACGCAAGUCUGAACCAGCCAUGCCGCGUGCAGGAUGACGGCUCUAUGAGUUGUAAACUGCUUUUGUACGAGGGUAAACCCCGAUACGUGUAUCGGGUUGAAAGUAUCGUACGAAUAAGGAUCGGCUAACUCCGUGCCAGCAGCCGCGGUAAUACGGAGGAUCCGAGCGUUAUCCGGAUUUAUUGGGUUUAAAGGGUGCGUAGGCGGUUUGAUAAGUUAGAGGUGAAAUGUCGGGGCUCAACCCCGAAACUGCCUCUAAUACUGUUGGACUAGAGAAUAGUUGCGGUAGGCGGAAUGUAUGGUGUAGCGGUGAAAUGCUUAGAGAUCAUACAGAACACCGAUUGCGAAGGCAGCUUACCAAACUAUAUCUGACGUUGAGGCACGAAAGCGUGGGUAGCAAACAGGAUUAGAUACCCUGGUAGUCCACGCAGUAAACGAUGAUAACUCGUUGUCGGCGAUACACAGUCGGUGACUAAGCGAAAGCGAUAAGUUAUCCACCUGGGGAGUACGUUCGCAAGAAUGAAACUCAAAGGAAUUGACGGGGGCCCGCACAAGCGGAGGAACAUGUGGUUUAAUUCGAUGAUACGCGAGGAACCUUACCCGGGCUUGAAAGUUAGCGACGACGCUUGAAAGAGCGUUUCCCUUCGGGGCGCGAAACUAGGUGCUGCAUGGUUGUCGUCAGCUCGUGCCGUGAGGUGUCGGGUUAAGUCCCAUAACGAGCGCAACCCCUACUGUUAGUUGCCAUCAGGUGAUGCUGGGCACUCUAGCGGGACUGCCGGUGUAAGCCGAGAGGAAGGCGGGGAUGACGUCAAAUCAGCACGGCCCUUACGUCCGGGGCCACACACGUGUUACAAUGGUAGGUACAGAGGGCAGCUACCCUGCGAAGGGGUGCGAAUCUCGAAAGCCUAUCUCAGUUCGGAUUGGAGGCUGAAACCCGCCUCCAUGAAGUUGGAUUCGCUAGUAAUCGCGCAUCAGCCAUGGCGCGGUGAAUACGUUCCCGGGCCUUGUACACACCGCCCGUCAAGCCAUGGGAGCUGGGGGUGCCUGAAGUUCGUGACCGCAAGGAGCGACCUAGGGCAAAACCGGUGACUGGGGCUAAGUCGUAACAAGGUA
Molecule: ribosomal RNA, 1475 nt
Filed under: uncultured bacterium
Lineage: Bacteria
Description: partial 16S ribosomal RNA
Rfam family: Bacterial small subunit ribosomal RNA
Source: RNAcentral